This 132-nucleotide small nucleolar RNA is filed under the name Lasius niger. The record is from RNAcentral. Lineage: Eukaryota; Metazoa; Arthropoda; Insecta; Hymenoptera; Formicidae.
UCUGGGCCAUAUCGAAGCUAUGACACGUGUAUAUUACGUGUUAUAGUCAAAAUUUGGCCAAGAUUAAAUUCCUUCAUAUUGGUCACUGAUUAUCGUUAUAGAUUUUCCGUAUUACCCAAGAAGGAAACAACA